Molecule: long non-coding RNA, 696 nt
Filed under: Hordeum vulgare
Lineage: Eukaryota; Viridiplantae; Streptophyta; Magnoliopsida; Poales; Poaceae
Description: long non-coding RNA (HVUL_LNC004138)
Source: RNAcentral
GCCUCUAGAGAUAAUGCUGCGAGCUCGUCCUGGCCAAGACCCGUCUCCUUCUGUUGCUGUUUGGAACGACUCCAUCUUCUCUUUGUUUCACUGUUUGCAUACACCCCUUCUAAAGUGUUAGUUGCAGUGUGAUACUAGAAAUAUUAGACUGACUGAUUCCAUAUUGGAGUUAUGUUUCUAUUGAUCAAGGGUCCAUAUUAAAGUUAGAUUUCUUCAUUUAUGUUAUGUCCCACCUCACAAAAGCCUUUGGAAUGAGCUAUAUAAUCACUGUAUAAGUAACCUAUUUAUAAUUACACGUGCCCCUUUAGCACUAUGUUUGUUACUCAUCCAUUCUCCUUUAAGAUGUUCUUCCAACAAAUAUGAUCUGUACAAUGGUAUACAAAGUUCAAAAACUUAGAAGAAAGUGUCAUGUGAGAAUUUUGAUAAUACAUAGAAUAGGUCAUACUACCAUGGACAUUUAUAACUUGGUAUAAUUCAGUGCUUCUUUAAAUAGGUAUAAUUAAUUAUUUAUAUAUUGUGCUUUGCGUAGAUUUUUGUUCCAUUAUUUGGUCUGUGCUACUUUCGUUUGAUAAUAUGUUAUGAUUUUCUGUCAUGCAUCCCACGGAUUUCAGGUUCUUCAGUUAACUUGAUUCUUCUCUCUGCCUAUUGAUAUUGUGUUAAAUGAGAAUCUAUUUUUGUCGUUCCAAUCGGUACUAC